GAUGAACGCUAGCGGCAGGCCUAACACAUGCAAGUCGAGGGGUAGAGGUUGCUUGCAACCUUGAGACCGGCGCACGGGUGCGUAACGCGUAUGCAAUCUGCCUUGUACUGAGGGAUAGCCCAGAGAAAUUUGGAUUAAUACCUCAUAGUAUCUUUUCCCGGCAUCGGGAGAUUAUUAAAGUUCCAACGGCACAAGAUGAGCAUGCGUCCCAUUAGCUAGUUGGUAUGGUAACGGCAUACCAAGGCAAUGAUGGGUAGGGGUCCUGAGAGGGAGAUCCCCCACACUGGUACUGAGACACGGACCAGACUCCUACGGGAGGCAGCAGUGAGGAAUAUUGGUCAAUGGGCGCAAGCCUGAACCAGCCAUGCCGCGUGCAGGAUGAAGCAUCUAUGGUGUGUAAACUGCUUUUAUACGGGAAGAAACACCGGAUCGUGAACCGGCUUGACGGUACCGUAAGAAUAAGGAUCGGCUAACUCCGUGCCAGCAGCCGCAGUAA
Molecule: ribosomal RNA, 496 nt
Filed under: uncultured bacterium
Lineage: Bacteria
Description: partial 16S ribosomal RNA
Rfam family: Bacterial small subunit ribosomal RNA
Source: RNAcentral